This 254-nucleotide ribosomal RNA is filed under the name uncultured bacterium. RNAcentral's name for it is "partial 16S ribosomal RNA". It matches the Rfam family "Bacterial small subunit ribosomal RNA", at positions 524 to 776 of the family's 1533-position model. The record is from RNAcentral.
UACGUAGGGUGCAAGCGUUGUCCGGAAUUAUUGGGCGUAAAGGGCUCGUAGGCGGUCCGUCACGUCGGGAGCGAAAACUUGGGGCUUAACCCCAAGCCUGCUUCCGAUACGGGCGGACUAGAGGUAGGCAGGGGAGAACGGAAUUCCUGGUGUAGCGGUAAAAUGCUCAAAUAUAUAGAGGAACACCAAACGGCGAAGGCAGUUAACUAUUCAGUUCUUGACGUUGAGGCACGAAAGCGUGGGGAGCAAGACGG